This 433-nucleotide ribosomal RNA is filed under the name uncultured bacterium. RNAcentral describes it as "partial 16S ribosomal RNA". It matches the Rfam family "Bacterial small subunit ribosomal RNA", at positions 29 to 507 of the family's 1533-position model. The record is from RNAcentral.
AACGAACGCUGGCGGCAGGCCUAACACAUGCAAGUCGAGCGAGGACUUCGGUCCUAGCGGCGGACGGGUGAGUAACGCGUGGGAACGUGCCCUUUGCUUCGGAAUAGCCCUGGGAAACUGGGAGUAAUACCGGAUGAGCCCUUUGGGGGAAAGAUUUAUCGGCGAAGGAUCGGCCCGCGUUGGAUUAGGUAGUUGGUGGGGUAAUGGCCUACCAAGCCGACGAUCCAUAGCUGGUUUGAGAGGAUGAUCAGCCACACUGGGACUGAGACACGGCCCAGACUCCUACGGGAGGCAGCAGUGGGGAAUCUUAGACAAUGGGGGAAAACCUGAUCUAGCCAUGCCGCGUGAGCGAUGAAGGCCUUAGGGUUGUAAAGCUCUUUGAGCUGGGAAGAUAAUGACGGUACCAGCAGAAGAAGCCCCGGCUAACUCCGUG